Molecule: long non-coding RNA, 574 nt
Organism: Alosa alosa (allis shad)
Lineage: Eukaryota; Metazoa; Chordata; Actinopteri; Clupeiformes; Clupeidae
Exons: 3
Source: RefSeq, a predicted model, not a curated record
GAGCCUGGCUGAGUGCUGCCACUGUCGGCGGAGUUUCAGGUCGGCUGAGGCACUGUCCCCUUGAAUGUGCCGACACUGACACGCAGUAGUUGGGCUGAUUACUAAGUGUCUUAUUUGGCCCGAUUGGGGUUUGAUGGGCUACUGCCAGUUUUCGAAUCAAUCUCGGCAGACGGAUUUCAUACAGUGUGUGGCCCGAUACUUCAGGAACGAACACUGAUCAGUAUCGCGGCUGUUGGCGGCAAAAAUUAAACAUUUAGCGACAGCCGGACGCUAAACGUACAUGGCCCAAUUCUGUAAAGUGACUGUCGGCCCAUUACAUGUGGAAGAGCCACGAGCAGAGUCAGUUUGAAACCAGCAGGACGGCGCGAAACUGUCUCGUUUUGGACACUGCCUGUGAAUCCAGGCCCCACUGACUAGAGACCUGCCUGCACUCCUUUGGAUGAAGAAGGCUACCCGUGUAUACAUGUGUGAACCAUUUCUUGUGUUGGAAAAACAGGAGACCUGAAGAGCUCUUGAUGCUUUUGGUUUGCCUCAUCCAUUAUGUCAGCAAAGAACAGGAGUGGGCAGGAAAAAC